CGGCAGCGCGGGGCAACCUGGCGGCGAGUGGCGAACGGGUGAGUAAUAUAUCGGAACGUACCCUGGAGUGGGGGAUAACGUAGCGAAAGUUACGCUAAUACCGCAUACGAUCUAAGGAUGAAAGUGGGGGAUUCGCAAGAACCUCAUGCUCCUGGAGCGGCCGAUAUCUGAUUAGCUAGUUGGUAGGGUAAAAGCCUACCAAGGCAUCGAUCAGUAGCUGGUCUGAGAGGACGACCAGCCACACUGGAACUGAGACACGGUCCAGACUCCUACGGGAGGCAGCAGUGGGGAAUUUUGGACAAUGGGCGCAAGCCUGAUCCAGCAAUGCCGCGUGAGUGAAGAAGGCCUUCGGGUUGUAAAGCUCUUUUGUCAGGGAAGAAACGGUGAUCUCUAAUAUAGGUUGCUAAUGACGGUACCUGAAGAAUAAGCACCGGCUAACUACGUGCCAGCAGCCGCGGUAAUACGUAGGGUGCAAGCGUUAAUCGGAAUUACUGGGCGUAAAGCGUGCGCAGGCGGUUUUGUAAGACUGUCGUGGAAUCCCCGGGCUCAACCUGGGAAUGGCGAUGGUGACUGCAAGGCUAGAGUUUGGCAGAGGGGGGUAGAAUUCCACGUGUAGCAGUGAAAUGCGUAGAUAUGUGGAGGAACACCGAUGGCGAA
Molecule: ribosomal RNA, 657 nt
Filed under: uncultured bacterium
Lineage: Bacteria
Description: bacterial SSU rRNA
Rfam family: Bacterial small subunit ribosomal RNA
Source: RNAcentral